AGUGAACGCUGGCGGUAGGCCUAACACAUGCAAGUCGAACGGCAGCACAGGAGAGCUUGCUCUCUGGGUGGCGAGUGGCGGACGGGUGAGGAAUACAUCGGAAUCUACUCUGUCGUGGGGGAUAACGUAGGGAAACUUACGCUAAUACCGCAUACGACCUACGGGUGAAAGAAUGGGACCUUCGGGCCGUGCGCGAAUGAAUGAGCCGAUGUCGGAUUAGCUAGUUGGCGGGGGAAAGGCCCACCAAGGCGACGAUCCGUAGCUGGUCUGAGAGGAUGAUCAGCCACACUGGAACUGAGACACGGUCCAGACUCCUACGGGAGGCAGCAGUGGGGAAUAUUGGACAAUGGGCGCAAGCCUGAUCCAGCCAUACCGCGUGGGUGAAGAAGGCCUUCGGGUUGUAAAGCCCUUUUGUUGGGAAAGAAAUCCAGCUGGCUAAUACCCGGUUGGGAUGACGGUACCCAAAGAAUAAGCACCGGCUAACUUCGUGCCAGCCGCCGCAGUAA
Molecule: ribosomal RNA, 506 nt
Filed under: uncultured bacterium
Lineage: Bacteria
Description: partial 16S ribosomal RNA
Rfam family: Bacterial small subunit ribosomal RNA
Source: RNAcentral